UACGUAGGGCGCAAGCGUUAUCCGGAAUUAUUGGGCGUAAAGAGCGCGUAGGCGGUUUUUCGCGUCUGCCGUGAAAGUCCGGGGCUCAACUCCGGAUCUGCGGUGGGUACGGGCAGACUAGAGUGAUGUAGGGGAGACUGGAAUUCCUGGUGUAGCGGUGAAAUGCGCAGAUAUCAGGAGGAACACCCGUGGCUAAGGCGGCUCUCUAGUACGGUACUGACGCUGAGACGCGAAAGCGUGGGGAGCGAACAGG
Molecule: ribosomal RNA, 253 nt
Filed under: uncultured bacterium
Lineage: Bacteria
Description: partial 16S ribosomal RNA
Rfam family: Bacterial small subunit ribosomal RNA
Source: RNAcentral